This 347-nucleotide unclassified non-coding RNA is filed under the name soil metagenome. Its description in RNAcentral is "partial contains 5.8S ribosomal RNA, internal transcribed spacer 2, and large subunit ribosomal RNA". The stretch from base 3 to 119 matches the Rfam family "5.8S ribosomal RNA", at positions 38 to 154 of the family's 154-position model. The record is from RNAcentral.
GAGAAGAACGUAGCGAAAUGCGAUAAGUAAUGUGAAUUGCAGAAUUCAGUGAAUCAUCGAAUCUUUGAACGCACAUUGCGCCCGCCAGUAUCCUGGCGGGCAUGCCUGUCUGAGCGCCAUUUCAACCCUCAUGCCCCUAGGGCGUGGUGUUGGGGAUCGGCCAAAGCCCGCGAGGGACGGCCGGCCCCUAAAUCUAGUGGCGGACCCGUCGUGGCCUCCUCUGCGAAGUAGUGAUAUUCCGCAUCGGAGAGCGAUGAGCCCCUGCCGUUAAACCCCCAACUUUCCAAGGUUGACCUCAGAUCAGGUAGGAAUACCCGCUGAACUUAAGCAUAUCAAUAAGCGGAGGA